Molecule: unclassified non-coding RNA, 1453 nt
Filed under: Hevea brasiliensis (rubber tree)
Lineage: Eukaryota; Viridiplantae; Streptophyta; Magnoliopsida; Malpighiales; Euphorbiaceae
Source: RNAcentral
CUAUGAUUCUGAUAACAAGAGACUCUUAUACCAACUACAGAAGUCAUAUCAUGGUGAUCCUAUUCUGAAUCCACUUACACCUUGGGAGAGACCACCUAUUAAAAAUGUUUUUUGCAUCUAUGGAGUUGAUUUGAAGACUGAGGUUGGUUACUAUUUUGCGCCAAGUGGCAAGCCUUACCCUGAUAAUUGGAUCAUAACAGAUAUCAUUUACGAGCUUGAAGGAUCUUUGGUCUCAAGGUCAGGGAAUCUGGUUGAGGGGAAUCCUGGAGCCGCAAGUGGGGAUGAAACAGUACCUUAUAAUUCUCUCUCUUUGUGCAAGAACUGGCUUGGACCAAAAGUUAACAUAACAAGAGCUCCUCAGUCAGAGCAUGACGGGUCUGACGUACAGGUGGAACUGAAUGUUGAACAUCAGCAUGAAGCAGAUGUAGUUCCCAACAUGACAAGGUCUCCAAGGGUAAAAUACAUUACAUAUUAUGAAGAUUCUGAAAGCAUUCCAGGAAAGAGGACAGCAGUUUGGGAGCUUGAUAAAGCAAAUCACAGGAACAUUGUUAGAUCCCCUGUUCUAAUGCGAGAGUUGUGGCUUCAGAUGUGGCAUGAUAUCCAUCCUGACAAAAAAUCAGAAUUUGUUACUGUCACAAAAGCUAAGCGUGGACCUUUGAGGGAUGAUGACUGCUAUUGGGACUAUGGGAAGGCUCGGUGUGCAUGGCCUGAAUACUGUGAAUAUAGGUAUCUUUUCGGAGAUGUUCAUCUAGGACAGAGUUGUAGGUUGAAGAAUUCUUCAGCUGACACGCUGUUGCAUUACGUUUAGAUUAGAAGUUGCUGGCAUUGGGCAUUAUUCCAUUCAUUACAAGUUCUAGCCCUGCAAUUGCUCUCUCUUGGAAGCUGGAAUCAAGCUGUUUGAUCAUUUCUUAAUGCAUCACGCAUAAUGAGACACAGAAUGGCUGGUGGUCUUUGUCCCUGUUGAAAUUCUAACUUGGCAUCUCGGCUUCCUCCUUUUUGCUACUUGCAACACAUCUGCUUUCAUCAGCCAAAUGCUUGCCUUCUGCACUAACUUCUGAAACUCUGGCAUAGCUUAUCUUUUCUGGUAGCUACUUUUGAGCUUGAACCAUUACAGCACCAAAAGUAGAUUCUUGACUUCAUGUAUUUGCACUGGCAUGGCUCAGUUGAGCAGAUGCAACUAAGGAGCGUAUUUUCAAGUAGAAUACGAGUGGUCCUGGCCAGAGAGUCUUAACAUCGAGCAAGGAUGGGACACUAAUACUGUUGGUGCAACAUACAGUUGAUGAAGUGGUAAAUCGAAGAAGAUACAGAUGGAUAGCAUGGCCUUUAUUAUAAUUUGAAGUUUAUUUACUGAAUAGUUAAAUCCAUUUUUUGUCCAAUUGCCCUCAAAAUGCCUAGCAAAAAGGAUAAUAAACAUACAACAAGAUUUGUUCUGUAACAAUUCAAAUGUUACGCG